Molecule: long non-coding RNA, 602 nt
Organism: Harpia harpyja (harpy eagle)
Lineage: Eukaryota; Metazoa; Chordata; Aves; Accipitriformes; Accipitridae
Exons: 3
Source: RefSeq, a predicted model, not a curated record
AAACAAUUAUGGUGUCUGACCUCUGAAAACAGGUUCUCAUCUUCAGUUCCUUGAGUUGCUGUGUGAGCCACUGGAGGGCACUGGUGGCUUCCCUCUCCUCUUUAUGGAGCUGCACCUGUAUGUGCUAUUUUGUAGCAAACCUUAAGAAGCCUUCUUCAUAUCAAAAGGUGGCUGUGUGUAUACGCACAUGCAUAUGCUCAUCUAUACGGGGCUAAGCUGCAAGCAAGUUGAUGCCAGAAGUUAUGAAGUGGCUCUAAACUCUCUCCCUAAACAUGGAUGAUGUUGUGAUGAAACCGUGGUGGAGUUGUUCAGUCUUUCAUUAAUUAUCUAAAACCAAAUAUAACUGACAGUUGUUGAAGGUGAUCUUUUCCUCCAGCUGUUUUCCACUGUAUAAACAUUACCUGCUGUGAUUUACAUAAACACUUAGGCAAAUACCAUCCUCAAGGAGUAGAAAACAUACAUGUCUUCAGUGGAAACGUUUAUAUUGUCAAGUACUAUAAUCACUAGUAUGUGUUUGUGCCAUAGUAAUAUCUAAAGGUCUAUGGAGGACCAGUGAUCCCAAUGAAAGUAUUUAUGAGUGUGCCUCAGGCACAGCCUGUCUG